UACGUAGGGUGCGAGCGUUGUCCGGAAUUAUUGGGCGUAAAGAGCUUGUAGGCGGUUUGUCGCGUCUGCUGUGAAAAUCCGGGGCUCAACCCCGGACUUGCAGUGGGUACGGGCAGACUAGAGGUAUGCAGGGGAGAACGGAAUUCCUGGUGUAGCGGUGAAAUGCGCAGAUAUCAGGAGGAACACCGGUGGCGAAGGCGGUUCUCUGGGCCAUUACUGACGCUGAGGAGCGAAAGCGUGGGGAGCGAACAGG
Molecule: ribosomal RNA, 253 nt
Filed under: uncultured bacterium
Lineage: Bacteria
Description: partial 16S ribosomal RNA
Rfam family: Bacterial small subunit ribosomal RNA
Source: RNAcentral